GAUGAACGCUGGCGGCGUGCCUAAUACAUGCAAGUCGAGCGAACGGACGAGAAGCUUGCUUCUCUGAUGUUAGCGGCGGACGGGUGAGUAACACGUGGAUAACCUACCUAUAAGACUGGGAUAACUUCGGGAAACCGGAGCUAAUACCGGAUGAUAUUUUGAACCGCAUGGUUCAAAAGUGAAAGACGGUCUUGCUGUCACUUAUAGAUGGAUCCGCGCUGCAUUAGCUAGUUGGUAAGGUAACGGCUCACUAAGGCAACGAUGCAUAGCCGACCUGAGAGGGUGAUCGGCCACACUGGAACUGAGACACGGUCCAGACUCCUACGGGAGGCAGCAGUAGGGAAUCUUCCGCAAUGGGCGAAAGCCUGACGGAGCAACGCCGCGUGAGUGAUGAAGGUCUUCGGAUCGUAAAACUCUGUUAUCAGGGAAGAACAUAUGUGUAAGUAACUGUGCACAUCUUGACGGUACCUAAUCAGAAAGCCACGGCUAACUACGUG
This 497-nucleotide ribosomal RNA is filed under the name uncultured bacterium. RNAcentral's name for it is "partial 16S ribosomal RNA". It matches the Rfam family "Bacterial small subunit ribosomal RNA", at positions 28 to 507 of the family's 1533-position model. The record is from RNAcentral.